The sequence is a transfer RNA, 74 nucleotides long. It matches the Rfam family "tRNA". From Rfam's summary of the family: Transfer RNA (tRNA) molecules are approximately 80 nucleotides in length.
GCCGCGAUAGCUCAGCCUGGUUAGAGCGCAGGCCUGUGGAGCCUGAGACCCGGGUUCGAAUCCCGGUCGCGGCC